CAAUAGCGUAUAUUAAAGUUGUUGCGGUUAAAAAGCUCGUAGUUGGAUUUCUGCUGAGAACGACCGGUCCGCCCUCUGGGUGUGUAUCUGGCUCUUUCUUGGCAUCUUCUUGGUGAACGUUGCUGCACUUGACUGUGUGGAGCGCUACCCAGGACUUUUACUUUGAGGAAAUUAGAGUGUUUCAAGCAGGCAUACGCCUUGAAUACAUUAGCAUGGAAUAAUAAGAUAGGACCUCGGUUCUAUUUUGUUGGUUUCUAGAGCUGAGGUAAUGAUUAAUAGGGAUAGUUGGGGGCAUUCGUAUUUAACUGUCAGAGGUGAAAUUCUUAGAUUUAUGAAAGACGAACUUCUGCGAAAGCAUUCGCCAAGGAUGUUUNCAUUGA
This 380-nucleotide ribosomal RNA is filed under the name uncultured eukaryote. Its description in RNAcentral is "partial 18S ribosomal RNA". It matches the Rfam family "Eukaryotic small subunit ribosomal RNA", at positions 592 to 976 of the family's 1831-position model. The record is from RNAcentral.